UCGAACGGUGCUUGCACUGGUCAAUCUAGUGGCGAACGGGUGAGUAACACGUGGGUAACCUGCCCAUCAGAGGGGGAUAACAUUCGGAAACGGAUGCUAAAACCGCAUAGGUCCUUUAACCGCAUGGUUGAAGGAGGAAAAGAGGCGCAAGCUUCUGCUGAUGGAUGGACCCGCGGUGCAUUAGCUAGUUGGUGAGGUAACGGCUCACCAAGGCCGUGAUGCAUAGCCGACCUGAGAGGGUGAUCGGCCACAUUGGGACUGAGACACGGCCCAAACUCCUACGGGAGGCAGCAGUAGGGAAUCUUCCGCAAUGGACGCAAGUCUGACGGAGCAACGCCGCGUGAGUGAAGAAGGUUUUCGGAUCGUAAAACUCUGUUGUUAGAGAAGAACAAGUGCUAGAGUAACUGUUAGCGCCUUGACGGUAUCUAACCAGAAAGCCACGGCUAACUACGUGCCAGCAGCCGCGGUAAUACGUAGGUGGCAAGCGUUGUCCGGAUUUAUUGGGCGUAAAGCGAGCGCAGGCGGUUCCUUAAGUCUGAUGUGAAAGCCCCCGGCUCAACCGGGGAGGGUCAUUGGAAACUGGGGAACUUGAGUGCAGAAGAGGAGAGUGGAAUUCCAUGUGUAGCGGUGAAAUGCGUAGAUAUAUGGAGGAACACCAGUGGCGAAGGCGACUCUCUGGUCUGUAACUGACGCUGAGGCUCGAAAGCGUGGGUAGCAAACAGGAUUAGAUACCCUGGUAGUCCACGCCGUACACGAUGAGUGCUAAGUGUUGGAAGGUUUCCGCCCUUC
This 789-nucleotide ribosomal RNA is filed under the name uncultured bacterium. RNAcentral describes it as "bacterial SSU rRNA". It matches the Rfam family "Bacterial small subunit ribosomal RNA", at positions 62 to 840 of the family's 1533-position model. The record is from RNAcentral.